This 1275-nucleotide long non-coding RNA is filed under the name Heterocephalus glaber (naked mole-rat). Its description in RNAcentral is "lncRNA (ENSHGLG00100042040.1)". The record is from RNAcentral. Lineage: Eukaryota; Metazoa; Chordata; Mammalia; Rodentia; Bathyergidae.
GGCGGCCCCUGCCCCGCCUGUCGCCCUGACCUUCGCCUCCGCAGGAGCCCGGCACUCGAGCGUCGCCCCGUCCCUCCCUCCCAGGCACCGCCCCCUGCCGGACCCCCUCCCCGCUCAGGUCCCUUCAGACCCCGGUUCCCGCCCGCCGCGGCCGCGCGCCCGGGCCACAGUGCCCUCGCGCCUCACUCACCGAAAACCACGGAACCCCUCAAACUCCACCGGCUUCUGGCCUCAGUCCGCGCACCGCGUCCGCCGGGAUUCUACACGUCCCGUCCACAGGCUGCGUCAUCCAAUCAGAAGCCAGAAGCCGGUAUGUGGGCGGGAGCGCAGUGCGUGCGCGAGCGCGUGCGCGUUGGGAGUGGCGGCCCUGAACGGGUCUCGGAUUGGCUGGGCGCCGCGGGUGGGUGGGGCUCUGCGUCGGGGCUCCCGCAUUCGGAUCGUGCGGGACGUGAGAGUAGCCCAGCCGGGUUCGCUUCAGGCCUUCAGGGCGGGCAGCACUCACACCCUAACCCUACUGCCCUUGAGCCUAGCACUGCACCAUGAGUCAGUCCCAGUGUCACACACCCUAGACGCAGCCACCUCUGGAAGGGCCCCACCUGUGGCCACACGGAGGCUUUGGGGCACAUCUGGACACAGCCACAACAGAGAAAACCAGAAAAGAGACUGUCUGCCUGGCUCAAGCAUAUCAACGAUUAAGUACAAGCCACCAACAUCCUUCUGCUUUUUGAUGCUUAGAAGAGUUUUUUAAGGAUUGGAAUGAAUAUAUCCAGUGUUUCCCCACCAGAAGCACACACAGCUGAGCAAACGUGCUGAACACCAGCAUGAGCUCUAGGAGUACUGUUACACACUUGACACACACCCUUCACGUAAGUGCUGCUGUGUCAAGUGGUAUGAUCCCCACCCAGCACAGGCACGGGUUCAGCAUGGCUAAGGGACCCGCUGGGGCUUCCACAGAGGCAGCUGUUGGCCUUGAGAUCCUCGUAACUCAUUCUGGUACCUUGUACUAGAGUGCUGGGAUUACAGGCAUGCAGCACCCUGCCUGGUUACAACGUGUUUAUUAAUCUUCCAUUUCCUGUCAGAAUCUUUAUCAACCACAACUUGUUUAGAAAUAUGGAGUCCAGGGCCAGGGAUGUAGCUCAGUGGCACCGCACCUGCCUGGCAAACACAAGGUCCUGAGUUUGAUCCCCGGUACCAAAUAAAUAAAAAUAAAUACAAAGUCCACCAAAAAAUGUAUACACACCUCAGGAAAAGGAAAACUAUGAAGUUUUUUCAGCA